This 233-nucleotide non-coding RNA is filed under the name Peptoniphilus grossensis. RNAcentral's name for it is "T-box sequence". It matches the Rfam family "T-box leader". From Rfam's summary of the family: Uncharged tRNA acts as the effector for transcription antitermination of genes in the T-box leader family. T-boxes are found upstream of many aminoacyl-tRNA synthetase genes and some amino acid biosynthetic genes usually in Gram-positive bacteria. The anticodon of a specific tRNA base pairs to a specifier sequence within the T-box motif, and the NCCA acceptor tail of the tRNA base pairs to a conserved bulge in the T-box antiterminator hairpin. Lineage: Bacteria; Bacillati; Bacillota; Tissierellia; Tissierellales; Peptoniphilaceae. The record is from RNAcentral.
AAAAAAGCGUUGAAAGAGAAAAAAGAAUUUUUGAUGAUUUAAGAGAGUUGCCGCUUGGUGCGAGGCAAUACACAGAAGUUUAAUAUACACUCUAAAGCUUAUUUGUUGAAUUUAGUAGGCAAGUACGGAAGCCACCGUUAACUGAGGCUAGAGGUUGUUAGACCUUAAAAUGAGGUAAUCUUUUUAGAUUAUAAAAUCGGGUGGUACCGCGAAGUCAGUCUUUCGUCCCAAUG